GAUGAACGCUGGCGGCGUGCCUAAUACAUGCAAGUCGAGCGAACAGACGAGGAGCUUGCUCCUCUGACGUUAGCGGCGGACGGGUGAGUAACACGUGGAUAACCUACCUAUAAGACUGGGAUAACUUCGGGAAACCGGAGCUAAUACCGGAUAAUAUAUUGAACCGCAUGGUUCAAUAGUGAAAGACGGUUUUGCUGUCACUUAUAGAUGGAUCCGCGCCGCAUUAGCUAGUUGGUAAGGUAACGGCUUACCAAGGCAACGAUGCGUAGCCGACCUGAGGGGGUGAUCGGCCACACUGGAACUGAGACACGGUCCAGACUCCUACGGGAGGCAGCAGUAGGGAAUCUUCCGCAAUGGGCGAAAGCUUGACGGAGCAACGCCGCGUGAGUGAUGAAGGUCUUCGGAUCGUAAAACUCUGUUAUUAGGGAAGAACAAAUGUGUAAGUAACUAUGCACGUCUUGACGGUACCUAAUCAGAAAGCCACGGCUAACUACGUG
This 497-nucleotide ribosomal RNA is filed under the name uncultured bacterium. Its description in RNAcentral is "partial 16S ribosomal RNA". It matches the Rfam family "Bacterial small subunit ribosomal RNA", at positions 28 to 507 of the family's 1533-position model. The record is from RNAcentral.